ACGCUUCGUCGCGUACUGAGUCGGCCACGACAAGUAAAGACCCCUAAAGUGUUGAAAUCAACUAGCAAAGCUCAACCUCAUCCUUCACGAAACCAAACAGAAGAAUGCAAAGUAAUAAAAGGUUUGAGGGGUUUUCCAGGAACUUGCUAUGUUCAUACCCCGAAGCCCCCAAGUUUCUUCCAAUAAGCGGUAUAUAAAAAAACCACUACUACCCCAGGGUUUAAAAGAGAUGAACCGUGACAAAAGUAUAGACAAACCAAUGAAGCCGCGAAGGCGUCAACGUCUUCCUCAAAGACUUAGAAACGAUGGUGGCGGUGGCGGUGGCCACCAUAUUCCGGUGCUUGGCCUAUGUCGCUUUAUUCUCGGGGUCAUCCUCUUGUCCUUGGUCUUGUUUCUCUUCUUUUAUUUCAUUUUAGCAGUAUGAGAAAGGAAUCUUAUUACUGCUAUUAUGGGAAAAAAAAAAAAAAAAAAACAACGCAAGAAUAAAGAUCUUUGUGAUAAUUGGACUGGUGGAUCAAGUUCCAUGCACUUUCAAAAAAUUAAGAAUUGAGAGGAGAGAGGACAGCAGGUUUCAAUUUCAAAACGUCAAAUUGUGUAGGUGGUGGGUGUGGGGGGCCUUCUAGGGCGGCAACAAGGUUAGCUAGAUUGAUACAUACGAAAGUGUAUGGACCUUGAUCCACUAGAUACCAUUCAAGUAUAUUACAUAUAGAUUUGGUGAUUUGUGUAUGUAUUUGGUUUACUGGUUUUAGUUAUUAAUUCAGCAGCUUUUCAAUGAGGAUUCACUUUA
This is a long non-coding RNA of Cajanus cajan (pigeon pea), 787 nucleotides long. RefSeq lists it as uncharacterized. NCBI's taxonomy places the organism in Eukaryota, Viridiplantae, Streptophyta, Magnoliopsida, Fabales, Fabaceae. The record is from RefSeq and is a predicted model, not a curated record.